This 247-nucleotide ribosomal RNA is filed under the name uncultured bacterium. RNAcentral's name for it is "partial 16S ribosomal RNA". It matches the Rfam family "Bacterial small subunit ribosomal RNA", at positions 107 to 354 of the family's 1533-position model. The record is from RNAcentral.
UGAGUAACGCGUGAGGAACCUGCCUUCCAGAGGGGGACAACAGUUGGAAACGACUGCUAAUACCGCAUGACACAUUUGAAUCGCAUGGUUUGAAUGUCAAAGAUUUAUCGCUGGAAGAUGGCCUCGCGUCUGAUUAGCUAGUUGGUAGGGUAACGGCCUACCAAGGCGACGAUCAGUAGCCGGACUGAGAGGUUGACCGGCCACAUUGGGACUGAGAUACGGCCCAGACUCCUACGGGAGGCAGCAG